This is a non-coding RNA of Dipodomys ordii (Ord's kangaroo rat), 65 nucleotides long. The record is from Rfam. Lineage: Eukaryota; Metazoa; Chordata; Mammalia; Rodentia; Heteromyidae.
GGUGGCUCAGUGGUAGAGUGCUUGCCUUGCAUGCAUGAGGACCUGGGUUCGAUUCCUCAGUACCA